GACGAACGCUGGCGGCGUGCCUAAUACAUGCAAGUUGAGCGCUGAAGGUUGGUACUUGUACCAACUGGAUGAGCAGCGAACGGGUGAGUAACGCGUGGGGAAUCUGCCUUUGAGCGGGGGACAACAUUUGGAAACGAAUGCUAAUACCGCAUAAAAACUUUAAACACAAGUUUUAAGUUUGAAAGAUGCAAUUGCAUCACUCAAAGAUGAUCCCGCGUUGUAUUAGCUAGUUGGUGAGGUAAAGGCUCACCAAGGCGAUGAUACAUAGCCGACCUGAGAGGGUGAGCGCCCACGUUGGGACUGAGACACGGCCCAAACUCCUACGGGAGGCAGCAGUAGGGAAUCUUCGGCAAUGGAAGAAAUUCUGACCGAGCAACGCCGCGUGAGAGAAGAAGGUAGUCGUAUCGUAAAACUCGGUUGGUAGAGAAGAACGUUGGUGAGAGUGGAAAGCUCAUCAAGUGACGGUAACUACCCAGAAAGGUACGGCUAACUACGUG
RNAcentral lists this ribosomal RNA (497 nucleotides) under uncultured bacterium. RNAcentral describes it as "partial 16S ribosomal RNA". It matches the Rfam family "Bacterial small subunit ribosomal RNA", at positions 28 to 507 of the family's 1533-position model. The record is from RNAcentral.